UAUGGCAACAGGUGAUACGUAGAAGACAACAUGCAAUGUUGAUCCUAAACUUACUCCAAGAAGUCAGCUGAAGGACCUCCUGGUGUAUAUGGGCCCAGUUUGCUUCCCAAACGCCAUCACUGGAGAGGACUCCCCAGUACAUGAAGCAUCUCCUGUCUACCAGUCCCCCACUUCAUGUUUCCACCAAGGGGGCUGCUGUGGAAUAGUGUUUUCCCGACGUAACAGAGUCAUUGCCACAGAACCUCACAGCAGAUGUGACUGUGUGUAUACCACAAGAUCAAGCCAGCCAAAAUUCCAGCAGUAAUGAGGCACUCGAGGAUUAUUUGAUGAACAUCUACCGAACAACGUGGCUUCAAGAAUAAAGUCAUAACAAGGCUGUUAACAUUUGUGAAAUGAAUCCAUUUGGCAGGUCAAUGAAUUCAUUAUAAUCCACUACAUGAAUGUAUGUGGACUGCAUGAAUUUAUGUGCACUGUAUGUGUGCAGGUGCCCACAGAAGACAGAAGCAGGCAUCAGAUUUCCUGGAAUGCGGUUAGUAGCAGUUUUUAGCUGCCUGAUGUGGGUGCUGGGAGGCAAACACAGGUCUUUGGCAAGAACAGUAUGUGUU
Molecule: long non-coding RNA, 605 nt
Organism: Mus musculus (house mouse)
Lineage: Eukaryota; Metazoa; Chordata; Mammalia; Rodentia; Muridae
Product: predicted gene, 40638
Exons: 4
Source: RefSeq, a predicted model, not a curated record